RNAcentral lists this ribosomal RNA (781 nucleotides) under uncultured Pelagibacteraceae bacterium. RNAcentral describes it as "bacterial SSU rRNA". It matches the Rfam family "Bacterial small subunit ribosomal RNA", at positions 44 to 873 of the family's 1533-position model. The record is from RNAcentral. Lineage: Bacteria; Pseudomonadati; Pseudomonadota; Alphaproteobacteria; Candidatus Pelagibacterales; Candidatus Pelagibacteraceae.
ACGCCUAAUACAUGCAAGUCGAACGAAGUAGCAAUACUUAGUGGCAGACGGGUGAGUAACAUGUGGGUAUCUUCCCUUUGGUGAGGAAUAACACGAGGAAACUUGUGCUAAUACCUCAUAAGUCUUUACGGAGAAAGCUUUAUGCGCCAAUGGAUGAGCCCGCACUUGAUUAGUUUGUUGGUAGGGUAAUGGCUUACCAAGACUUUGAUCAAUAGCUGAUUUGAGAGGAUGAUCAGCCACAUUGGGACUGAGACACGGCCCAAACUCCUACGGGAGGCAGCAGUAGGGAAUCUUGCACAAUGGGGGAAACCCUGAUGCAGCGAUGCCGCGUGAGUGAAGAAGGCCUUUGGGUUGUAAAGCUCUUUCGUCGGGGAAGAAAAUGACUGUACCCGAAUAAGAAGGUCCGGCUAACUUCGUGCCAGCAGCCGCGGUAAUACGAAGGGACCUAGCGUAGUUCGGAAUUACUGGGCUUAAAGAGUUCGUAGGUUGUUAAAAAAGUUGGUGGUGAAAUCCCAGAGCUUAACUCUGGAACUGCCAUCAAAACUUUUUAGCUAGAGUAUGAUAGAGGAAAGCAGAAUUUCUAGUGUAGAGGUGAAAUUCGUAGAUAUUAGAAAGAAUACCAAUUGCGAAGGCAGCUUUCUGGAUCAUUACUGACACUGAGGAACGAAAGCAUGGGUAGCGAAGAGGAUUAGAUACCCUCGUAGUCCAUGCCGUAAACGAUGUGUGUUAGACGUUGGAAAUUUAUUUUCAGUGUCGCAGCGAAAGCAAUAAACACACCGCC